RNAcentral lists this ribosomal RNA (253 nucleotides) under uncultured bacterium. Its description in RNAcentral is "partial 16S ribosomal RNA". It matches the Rfam family "Bacterial small subunit ribosomal RNA", at positions 524 to 776 of the family's 1533-position model. The record is from RNAcentral.
UACGUAGGGUGCGAGCGUUAAUCGGAAUUACUGGGCGUAAAGCGUGCGCAGGCGGCGCGUUAAGACAGGUGUGAAAGCCCCGAGCUUAACUUGGGAAUUGCGCUUGUGACUGGCGUGCUGGAGUGUGGCAGAGGGAGGUGGAAUUCCACGUGUAGCAGUGAAAUGCGUAGAGAUGUGGAGGAACACCGAUGGCGAAGGCAGCCUCCUGGGCCGGCACUGACGCUGAUGCGCGAAAGCGUGGGGAGCAAACAGG